RNAcentral lists this transfer RNA (100 nucleotides) under Pyrobaculum neutrophilum V24Sta. RNAcentral describes it as "tRNA-Pro". It matches the Rfam family "tRNA". Rfam says of the family: Transfer RNA (tRNA) molecules are approximately 80 nucleotides in length. Their secondary structure includes four short double-helical elements and three loops (D, anti-codon, and T loops). Lineage: Archaea; Thermoproteati; Thermoproteota; Thermoprotei; Thermoproteales; Thermoproteaceae. The record is from RNAcentral.
GGGGCCGUAGUCUAGCCUGGCUAGGAUGCCGGCCUGGGGACAAACCCCGUAGUUGCCAGCGCGCCGGUGAUCCCGGGUUCAAAUCCCGGCGGCCCCACUA